GAUGAACGCUAGCGGCAGGCCUAACACAUGCAAGUCGAGGGGCAGCACAGAAACAGCAAUGUUUUGGUGGCGACCGGCGGACGGGUGCGUAACGCGUAUGCAACCUACCUUUAACAGGGGGAUAACGGAGAGAAAUUUCCACUAAUACCCCAUAACAUCGAUCAAGGCAUCUUGAUUGGUUGAAAACUCCGGUGGUUAAAGAUGGGCAUGCGUUGUAUUAGGUAGUUGGUGAGGUAAUGGCUCACCAAGCCUACGAUACAUAGGGGGACUGAGAGGUUAGCCCCCCACACUGGUACUGAGACACGGACCAGACUCCUACGGGAGGCAGCAGUGAGGAAUAUUGGUCAAUGGGGGCAACCCUGAGCCAGCCAUGCCGCGUGCAGGAAGACGGCUCCAUGAGUUGUAAACUGCUUUUAAACAGGGAUAAAGCACAGUAUGUAUACUGUGUUGAAGGUACUGUAAGAAUAAGGAUCGGCUAACUCCGUGCCAGCAGCCGCCGUAA
RNAcentral lists this ribosomal RNA (502 nucleotides) under uncultured bacterium. Its description in RNAcentral is "partial 16S ribosomal RNA". It matches the Rfam family "Bacterial small subunit ribosomal RNA", at positions 28 to 523 of the family's 1533-position model. The record is from RNAcentral.